Molecule: RNA transcript, 4360 nt
Organism: Monodelphis domestica (gray short-tailed opossum)
Lineage: Eukaryota; Metazoa; Chordata; Mammalia; Didelphimorphia; Didelphidae
Gene: PLN
Gene name: phospholamban
Source: RefSeq, a predicted model, not a curated record
CUUAUGAGUUUUUCCCUUUCUCCACCUACUUCAACUGUUCCCACAAAGUUGGUGACACUCAAAAAAGUUGCCAGCAAAAGACUAGGAUUUUAGACAACUGAGGACACAUUUCACUACAUGUUCACAAUUAUCUGAACAGUCAAGCUCAUUUUACAGAUGAGGAAACUGCAGUAAACAGCAUUAAAUGACUUUCCCAGUGUUACAGAGCUAAUAAGGGUUCUGAGGCCAGACCUGAAGUCACAAAGGUACCAACCAUCUUUCUUCUUCUGUCCAACCAAUUUGCUGACACAAAUAAUCGUUGGUCAAAAUUCUACAUGUAAAAAAGAAGAUCAAAUAGUCAAAGACCAAAAUCCAUAUUUUUUUUUAAUCUGAACAAUUAUAAAUCACACUUCUUUGCCUUCCGAGUAUCAUGGAGAAAGUCCAGUACCUCACCCGCUCUGCCAUAAGAAGAGCUUCAACUAUUGAAAUGCCCCAACAAGCUCGUCAAAAUCUCCAGGAACUCUUCAUAAAUUUUUGUCUCAUAUUAAUAUGUCUGUUGCUUAUUUGUAUCAUUGUGAUGCUUCUCUGAAGUUCUGAUACUACUUCCAAGUCUACUCUCCUUCAAUGUAGAUCUAAAACCUAUUAUGAGACAAAGAAAAGAAACUGAAACUGUACAAGAAACCCAUUUGCUGGGUGUUAAGAAUAUUCCCAUGAAAAAGAUGCAAAUGAUCAACUGAUAUAUUCUCCUCCUGCCUUUAAACUUGGGAAACAUUUCUUUCAAGAAGUUAUUUACAAGGAGCAAUAGCUUAAUUAUGCAUGACAUAAUUCUGUUCUUUUAUUAGGCACUACUUACAAGAGGCUUUGUUUUUUUUUCUUUUUUUUUUAUUUUUGAGGCUUUGUUUUCUAAAUCACAUUUCGGUCAAAUCCACUUUAUAUUCAAAGUAACUAUUUCACUGUUUUGGGGAUUGAAUUCAUAUUUUAUUGUUAUUCUCAUCAGAUAUUUAAAUUUUCAGUGCUGACAAUAAUUACCAAAAUAGCAAUUUGAAAUAAUGCUUCACCAUUGCAACUGAAUAGCUUUUUAUAAUCACUUCAACUUUAGAAUAUUCACUAAAAUUGUAGGUAUGCCUUUGGGUUUUUGUUAUUGUUUAAAAUCACGCACUGCUGAAGUUAAAAAUGAAAACUCAUGAAAUAUGUUAAAAUAGAAAACUAGAUUUUAUCCUACACAACAUUUCACCUUUAUUUAGAGAGGGAGUAAAAAAGAAUAAAGAAAGAAAAAUAUAUAGCUCUAAAUUUACCUUAUAUUAAAAAGUUUUCUAUUACUUGCAGCUCCAGUUAAUUCAACAUGACUACUUCAUUCAAAUUAUCUAGUCAAUCAAAUCUAUUCUCCUUCCUAAGUUAUUAUUAUGUUCUGGUAGAUAAGGGGAAACAAGUCAAUCUGUGAGGGUGAUUAGCCUUGACAAAGGAAAUGUUCUUCAAGGCAGUUCUGCCACAACCUACAAUUGAGACAUAAGAAAUCUUUACUGAGCACCACUUUAUUUAAGACACUGAAUGUAGCAUUUAUAGUGACAUUAAGGUCAUAGGUGCUUUUUUCUUCUUCUGCUUGAGAAAGGAUUUUUAAUUUUUUUUUUAGCUUUCAGAAUAUUAAGUUUUCUUUUAAGACAUAAAGAAAUAACAAAUAAUUAAUUUCUAUGCCUUGUAUAUUAAUAUUUUUAAAUCCUUAAACUGAGAUUUGAUAUCUAUUAGUAUAAAACAAUGUUUUCUGUGUUUAUAUACCUAUGAGGCAUAUUCAUAAACCAGCUAUUUUUGCAAUUUUAAAAUAGGUCAACUUCUAAAUUAACUCCUCACUAAAACACAUUAUAGCUUUUCUAUAGAUGCAGAGGAUCCUAUAAAAAGUUUUCACAAUAUUUUCCUGGUUGUAAAACGACUUGGUGAAUCAUACGAUCCAAUAAGAGAUUCUUAGAUUUUACAAAGAAUGUAGGGAGUAUAUAUACAUAAUUAUAUAAAGCAGUGAACCAGAAACUAGUCGGGUAGUGACUGAGACUUGUUGGUAUAGUGAAAAUUCAGACAUGGAGUCAAAAGACUUGAGUUAAAGUCUCCUUUGGCCUAACUCAUUCAUUAGCUAUAUGAUGAUUGAACAAAGACAUUAACUAUUUUGAUUUGUCUUGGAGAAUAUCAGUAUUAAGGGUGAUUAUGGGCUGUGAAUAAGCUAAACUCAUCUUAUAAACCAAGUAUAAACUCUGAAAUUUUAAAUCAUUUUCCAAUUGCUUUGUUAAUUAGACUAUAUUAAAAAAAAUUAGUAUGAGAAUUCAUUGUAUAGUUUCUUCUUCUAAAGAAAAACUUUUAUUUCCUACAUGAAAAUAAAAUGAACUUAUGUCAAAAAUCAAAGAAUCAUUUACCUUCUAUGCAGAAAUCAAUUCCUUAAAAUGAAACUCUUAAGAUCAUAUUUAUAGUGAUUUAACUAUAAACUAUAAGGAAAAAUAAGAAUGCAGUUACAUUAAAAAUGUUAAGAUAAACUGAUGUCCAAAUACAAUUUAAGAACAGUAAAUUCUAGUAUUACAGUUGGAUUAAAAUUCUUAAAAGAAUUAACUAAUUUUAAAGACUUUUAUAUUAUCAUUUAUAUUGUGGUUGGUUAAAAUACAUAUUUGAUAGCUAAAUGUAUUUAAUGCAAAUAGUCACAAUCACAUAUAAAAAAGAAUGUUUUUAAUUUAAUUACAUUGUUUCUAUAAUGUACUCAUUUUACUAUGACAUAAUAAAACAAUCCUAAAUGCUGAGGGUAGAUUUGGCUUUGGAAAAGAGUUUGUUUGCUUUUAAAAAUACUGUAAAAAUCAGCAGCAAGAUUACAACCUGUGGUCACAAGAGGGCAGACUUCUUUAAAAUAUGAGAUUUUCCCCUUCUAAUAACUGUACCUGAACUUGCUCUUUAAGAAACACUUAUUAAUGCACACAAAGGGUAUGCGCCUUUCAUUACAAAAAUUCUAUACUUUUACUUGCCUAAAUAUCAUGUGCCAGGCCCAACUUGAGGAAUUAAUCAAGAAAUAAAAACCCAAAAUGAAUGUAAUAAUAGAGAAUGUCUGGAUUGAGGUAGAGAGCAAAUCACAAACAAAAGCAAUUUUCCUUCUUUACUGGCAAUAUGCGAAUUAAUUAAAAUCUGAGUUUUUUGCAAGAACCAUCUAUACAUUUGUAUACAAAAUACUUUCCAGUUUUCCACGUAAUGUGGAAAAAUCUUAAAUCAAUUUAUUUGAUGAAAUGUUUGCAUUUUUAGCUUCUAUAUAUGUAAAUAAAAUAUGCUAAAAUAAUUAUCAAAUGAGAUAUUGUCAUAGUAAGCCCCUAUCAGCACUGUAACUAAAGAACUAUUUUACAUUAAAAAAUAAUAAUAACCUGAACAUUUAUUUUUCCCAACAUAGUAGCUAUUCAUAGUUCCAAUAGCAUAAUUUUAGGGAAGAAAAACAUACGAAAGUAGGCAUGUAACCUUAGAAUAAAAAGAAAUUUUCAUUCCCAAGCCUUCCACAGGGACAAAAGAUUAUAGUAAUAAUUAUAUUUUUCAACUCCUAAAGGAACUCUUUGGUCUUAGAGGAAUAUGAUAAGACAGAAUGGGUAUUGGGGGAGGGAAGAAUUAAUGCUAGUCUUCCAGAGGGGUUAUGAAAAGAUCCUCUCUCUCCCUAACAGGGGCAGGCAUUGUAAGCAACAGGAUUAACAGGCAUGUACAGUAAAUUCUGGGAAGAAUUAUAGGCUACUAUCUGGUAAAGCCUACACUAAAAGUAUCUUCUUAGAUGAAUACUAAUCCAUCUCCUUAGAGGGUGAAGGUAACAGUAAGAGUGAGAACUGUAAUGUGAUCAAGUAAGGAGUUUGUUGUUACCCAAUGCAUACUCUAAAGAUUAGUGCAAUGAGCUUAUUAAGAACACAACUGUUUUGCAAUCAUAGUGACCAAGAAUGACCAAAAUUGAAAUCUGAAAAGAAAUUCUGUCAACAUUACCAUUCAGUCUUCUGCAAAUCCCCUAUUUCUCUCCAACAAUCUAUUUUUGACAAGAUACCUCUUCAUUCUAUUCCAACAGGGUUGAAUAUUAGUGAAUCUGUGGUACCUAACUUUGUCAACAAAAACUGACUUCAUGGAAAGUACAACUAUUUGGGUCAACUGACUAUCUUCUUGGGUGAAAACGUAAAAUAUUCAUGAACUAUAUAAACAAGUAGAUAUUUCAAAAGAUACGAGGAUCAUAAGACAAAACAGGACAGUGUCAGAAUUAUUGUAAAAGAUCCAAGCUUAAAAUGACAUCUAAGGAAAAGUUAAAGCUCUCUGAAACUGUGUGAAAUUUUAAUAAUUUUAAAUCGUCUCAUCCCUUGAUUUAAUAUCUUUGACCUCAAUAAAAUCAUUUUACAUUUCUGUA